CGUUAACUUGCAAUCUUUACUAGACUAGGCCAAGGGACAGCGGCACUUCAGCAUCUGCCAGCAGGUUGAGGGAGGCCGUCCUUCCUCUCAGCUGCAUGGCAGCACCGGGUCCUCACUCAGUGCUGCCUGCAAGGGCUGCCACCCUCUUGCUUGAGGGCCCCCAGCCGCUCCCCCACUGAGGCGGUGGUGACCGUGAUGUCACAGUGCGUGUCAGAGUGCGCCCAUUGUGACGCACGAAGCUUGGAGCAGAGCAAAGGCUGCCGGGCUCAGCCCGAGUGUCAGUGCGGCCUGGCGAGGCGCGGAGAGUGCAGGGACACUCGCAGUGCUCGCUGUUAACGCACAUCAUGUCCACUAGGAAGAGGAAGGCCUCCAGCUCGGAGGAGCCAGUGUGCGUGCUGUGUGGCCGGGCAGAUGUCGACCCGAACAUCUGUGGGCACACACUUGAUGAGAAGGGGAUUCGUG
This 462-nucleotide long non-coding RNA is filed under the name Gallus gallus (chicken). Its description in RNAcentral is "long non-coding RNA NONGGAT000044". The record is from RNAcentral. Lineage: Eukaryota; Metazoa; Chordata; Aves; Galliformes; Phasianidae.